AGAGUUUGAUCCUGGCUCAGAACGAACGCUGGCGGCAGGCUUAACACAUGCAAGUCGAACGGGCGCGAGCAAUCGCGUCAGUGGCAGACGGGUGAGUAACGCGUGGGAACAUACCCUUCGGUUCGGAAUAGCUCAGGGAAACUUGGAUUAAUACCGGAUACGCCCUUGGAUGAAAGUCUGGGGGGAAAGAUUGAUCGCCGGAGGAUUGGCCCGCGUUCGAUUAGCUUGUUGGUGAGGUAACGGCUCACCAAGGCGAUGAUCGAUAGCUGGUCUGAGAGGAUGAUCAGCCACAUUGGGACUGAGACACGCCCAAACUCCUACGGGAGGCAGCAGUGGGGAAUAUUGGACAAUGGGCGCAAGCCUGAUCCAGCCAUGCCGCGUGAGUGAUGACGGCCUUAGGGUUGUAAAGCUCUUUCGCUCGGGACGAUAAUGACGGUACCGAGAGAAGAAGCCCCGGCUAACUUCGUGCCAGCAGCCGCGGUAAUACGAAGGGGGCUAGCGUUGUUCGGAAUUACUGGGCGUAAAGCGCGUGUAGGCGGAUGUUUAAGUCAGGGGUGAAAUGCCAAGGCUCAACCUUGGAACUGCCUUUGAUACUGGAGAUCUUGAGUCCGGGAGAGGUGAGUGGAAUUGCGAGUGUAGAGGUGAAAUUCGUAGAUAUUCGCAAGAACACCGGUGGCGAAGGCGGCUCACUGGCCCGGAACUGACGCUGAGACGCGAAAGCGUGGGGAGCAAACAGGAUUAGAUACCCCGGUAGUCC
This 757-nucleotide ribosomal RNA is filed under the name uncultured bacterium. RNAcentral's name for it is "bacterial SSU rRNA". It matches the Rfam family "Bacterial small subunit ribosomal RNA", at positions 8 to 796 of the family's 1533-position model. The record is from RNAcentral.